GCCGAGGUGGCGGAAUUGGUAGACGCACCAGACUCAAAAUCUGGCGCCGGCAACGGCGUGCGGGUUCGAUUCCCGCCCUCGGCACCA
This 87-nucleotide transfer RNA is filed under the name Magnetococcales bacterium. RNAcentral describes it as "tRNA-Leu". It matches the Rfam family "tRNA". Rfam says of the family: Transfer RNA (tRNA) molecules are approximately 80 nucleotides in length. The record is from RNAcentral. Lineage: Bacteria; Pseudomonadati; Pseudomonadota; Magnetococcia; Magnetococcales.